This 562-nucleotide ribosomal RNA is filed under the name uncultured bacterium. Its description in RNAcentral is "bacterial SSU rRNA". It matches the Rfam family "Bacterial small subunit ribosomal RNA", at positions 338 to 916 of the family's 1533-position model. The record is from RNAcentral.
CCUACGGGAGGCAGCAGUGGGGAAUAUUGGACAAUGGGCGAAAGCCUGAUCCAGCAAUGCCGCGUGAGUGAUGAAGGCCUUCGGGUCGUAAAGCUCUUUUACCAGGGAUGAUAAUGACAGUACCUGGAGAAUAAGCUCCGGCUAACUCCGUGCCAGCAGCCGCGGUAAUACGGAGGGAGCUAGCGUUGUUCGGAAUUACUGGGCGUAAAGAGUACGUAGGCGGUUAUUCAAGUCAGAGGUGAAAGCCCGGGGCUCAACCCCGGAACUGCCUUUGAAACUAGAUAACUAGAGUCUUGGAGAGGUUAGUGGAAUUCCGAGUGUAGAGGUGAAAUUCGUAGAUAUUCGGAAGAACACCAGUGGCGAAGGCGACUAACUGGACAAGUACUGACGCUGAGGUACGAAAGCGUGGGGAGCAAACAGGAUUAGAUACCCUGGUAGUCCACGCCGUAAACGAUGAUAACUAGUUGUUCGGUCACUUGGUGACUGAGUGACGCAGCUAACGCAUUAAGUUAUCCGCCUGGGGAGUACGGUCGCAAGAUUAAAACUACAAAUGAAUUGACGG